This 74-nucleotide transfer RNA is filed under the name uncultured archaeon A07HB70. It matches the Rfam family "tRNA". From Rfam's summary of the family: Transfer RNA (tRNA) molecules are approximately 80 nucleotides in length. Their secondary structure includes four short double-helical elements and three loops (D, anti-codon, and T loops). Further hydrogen bonds mediate the characteristic L-shaped molecular structure. tRNAs have two regions of fundamental functional importance: the anti-codon, which is responsible for specific mRNA codon recognition, and the 3' end, to which the tRNAs corresponding amino acid is attached (by aminoacyl-tRNA synthetases). tRNAs cope with the degeneracy of the genetic code in two manners: having more than one tRNA (with a specific anti-codon) for a particular amino acid; and 'wobble' base-pairing, i.e. permitting non-standard base-pairing at the 3rd anti-codon position. The record is from Rfam by way of RNAcentral.
GGGCCGGUAGCUCAGCCAGGGAGAGCGACGGGCUCUUAACCCGUCGGUCGGGGGUUCAAAUCCCUCCCGGCCCG